UGAAAGUUCAAGAUAUAGCCUAUAUCCAGUAUUCCAGUUAGAAGUACUGAUCUUUCGAGGUAAGGGAUAUUUUUUUUUUUCGUAAUGAUAUUAUUUCUUCAAUAUCAUUAUGCUGAAAUAUUGAUCUGAAGUUUUUAUCAAAUUUGGAACUUUUGGUGUCGGGGUUACUAUUCACGUAUACGGCACUAUUCACGUAUACGGUACUAUUCACGAAUACGGCACUAUUCAUCGAAAAAUAAAAAUUUUUCUUUUCGUCCAAAAUAUCUAUUGUGGAUACUAGCUUUGAUUGUAUCCAUGUUUUGAUCAUUCUUGAAUUUUACACCACUAUGAUUAUUUUUGAGGUAUUUUUGGACGUGGAUAAAACGAAGUACGAAUCCU
This 378-nucleotide long non-coding RNA is filed under the name Panax ginseng (ginseng). RNAcentral describes it as "long non-coding RNA (PGIN_LNC017357)". Lineage: Eukaryota; Viridiplantae; Streptophyta; Magnoliopsida; Apiales; Araliaceae. The record is from RNAcentral.